RNAcentral lists this ribosomal RNA (488 nucleotides) under uncultured bacterium. RNAcentral describes it as "partial 16S ribosomal RNA". It matches the Rfam family "Bacterial small subunit ribosomal RNA", at positions 28 to 507 of the family's 1533-position model. The record is from RNAcentral.
GACGAACGCUGGCGGCGUGCUUAACACAUGCAAGUCGAACGGAAAGGCCCUGCUUUUGUGGGGUGCUCGAGUGGCGAACGGGUGAGUAACACGUGAGUAACCUGCCCUUGACUUUGGGAUAACUUCAGGAAACUGGGGCUAAUACCGGAUAGGAGCUCCUGCUGCAUGGUGGGGGUUGGAAAGUUUCGGCGGUUGGGGAUGGACUCGCGGCUUAUCAGCUUGUUGGUGGGGUAGUGGCCUACUAAGGCUUUGACGGGUAGCCGGCCUGGGAGGGUGACCGGCCACACGGGGACUGAGACACGGCCCAGAGUCGUACAGGAGGCAGCAGUAGGGAAUCUUCCGCAAUGGGGGAAAGGGGGAGGGAGCAGCGCGGGGUGAGUGAAGAAGGAGUUCGGUUGGGAAAGCGAUGUUGUUAGGGAAGAAUGAUUGUGUAGUAACUAUACACAGUAGAGACGGUACCUAAACAGAAAGACACGGCUAACUACGUG